AAAUGGAUACUUUCCCAUGAUGCACCUGUUCUCACUGCAGGUCCUCCAGUGGUCUAUGAGUACCUGACUACUAUCGAGCUGCAAACCACAAAUGUUACAGUGAUAGAGGAACUGAGGAUUAUCCUGGAUAACAUCAGCUACCCCUUCCCCAUCGACAGCAACAUACUGAUCUCGGAGGUCAACAUCACCACAGUUUGCUCUCCAUUCGGGGCUGGGUUCCAAUGCACAUGUGAGGAUCCGUAUCGCUGGCCAUGUGACAAGUGUCUUCUGCAUGGGUCAUGUGACAACAUCACUGAUGAGACGUGUGGAUGCAUCAAUGCCCUUCCUCCUGAUGAAGAAUACUGCCAGCUCUCCCAACAAAUCCCACUCAAUCGCACUUUUUGUCCUUUACCCCCCUCUUCUCCACCCUCCUCCACCCCCUCUCCUCCACCCUCCUCCACCCCC
Molecule: long non-coding RNA, 444 nt
Organism: Gadus macrocephalus (Pacific cod)
Lineage: Eukaryota; Metazoa; Chordata; Actinopteri; Gadiformes; Gadidae
Exons: 3
Source: RefSeq, a predicted model, not a curated record